This 337-nucleotide ribosomal RNA is filed under the name uncultured bacterium. RNAcentral's name for it is "bacterial SSU rRNA". It matches the Rfam family "Bacterial small subunit ribosomal RNA", at positions 21 to 358 of the family's 1533-position model. The record is from RNAcentral.
GGCUCAGGAGGAACGCUGGCGGCGUGCUCACACAUGCAAGUCGAACGAUGAAGCUGGAGCUUGCUCCGGUGGAUUAGUGGCGAACGGGUGAGUAACACGUGAGCAAUCUGCCCUUGACUCUGGGAUAACUGCGGGAAACUGUAGCUAAUACCGGAUACGACGCUUGGAGGCAUCUCCGGGCGUGGAAAGAAUUUCGGUCAAGGAUGAGCUCGCGGCCUAUCAGCUAGUUGGUGAGGUAAUGGCUCACCAAGGCGACGACGGGUAGCCGGCCUGAGAGGGUGACCGGCCACACUGGGACUGAGACACGGUCCAGACUCCUACGGGAGGCAGCAGUGGG